Long non-coding RNA from Haliotis rubra (blacklip abalone), 104 nucleotides. RefSeq lists it as uncharacterized. The record is from RefSeq and is a predicted model, not a curated record. NCBI's taxonomy places the organism in Eukaryota, Metazoa, Mollusca, Gastropoda, Lepetellida, Haliotidae. The transcript has 3 exons.
GGAAGGUCGCGGUAGCUGAACUAGACUCCAGUUUCUAAGGCUCCAGUUCUGGACUCUACGACACCACCGCAAGUGAUUGCGCCGAUGGAAGUCUCUCAAAACAG